UAGGGAAUCUUCCGCAAUGGGCGAAAGCUUGACGGAGCAACGCCGCGGGAGUGAUGAAGGUCUUCGGAUCGUAAAACUCUGUUAUUAGGGAAGAACAAAUGUGUAAGUAACUAUGCACGUCUUGACGGUACCUAAUCAGAAAGCCACGGCUAACUACGUGCCAGCAGCCGCGGUAAUACGUAGGUGGCAAGCGUUAUCCGGAAUUAUUGGGCGUAAAGCGCGCGUAGGCGGUUUUUUAAGUCUGAUGUGAAAGCCCACGGCUCAACCGUGGAGGGUCAUUGGAAACUGGAAAACUUGAGUGCAGAAGAGGAAAGUGGAAUUCCAUGUGUAGCGGUGAAAUGCGCAGAGAUAUGGAGGAACACCAGUGGCGAAGGCGACUUUCUGGUCUGUAACUGACGCUGAUGUGCGAAAGCGUGGGGAUCAAACAGG
RNAcentral lists this ribosomal RNA (429 nucleotides) under Bacteroidota bacterium. Its description in RNAcentral is "Bacteroidetes bacterium partial 16S ribosomal RNA". It matches the Rfam family "Bacterial small subunit ribosomal RNA", at positions 355 to 776 of the family's 1533-position model. Lineage: Bacteria; Pseudomonadati; Bacteroidota. The record is from RNAcentral.